RNAcentral lists this ribosomal RNA (349 nucleotides) under Candidatus Bathycorpusculum sp. RNAcentral's name for it is "bacterial SSU rRNA". It matches the Rfam family "Archaeal small subunit ribosomal RNA", at positions 1 to 327 of the family's 1478-position model. Lineage: Archaea; Thermoproteati; Candidatus Bathyarchaeota; Bathyarchaeia (SeqCode); Bathyarchaeales (SeqCode); Candidatus Bathycorpusculaceae. RNAcentral also lists the same sequence under 1 other name. The record is from RNAcentral.
ACUCCGGUUGAUCCUGCCGGACCCCACUGCUAUCGGGAUAGGACUAAGACAUGCUAGUUGAGCGCUUCAGCCAAAACGAGGCGCAGCGAACAGCUCAGUAACACGUGGCUAAUCUGCCCUUGGGACAAAAACAACCCCGGGAAACUGGGGCUAAUUUUUGAUAGGCGAAGAACUCUGGAAUGAGUCUUCACUUAAAAGACUUCACGUUAUGCUCGUGAAGUUGCCCAAGGAUGAGGCCGCGACCGAUCAGGUUGUUGGUGAGGUAAUGGCUCACCAAGCCUUUUACCGGUGCGGGCCGUGAGAGCGGGAGCCCGGAGAUGGGCACUGAGACAAGGGCCCAGGCCCUACG